UAAGCUACAUUACUGCAUACCAGUGAAUUUUGUUUUGCUUUGGUUUUGCUGUAGCAUAAAUUAACAAGGUGUCAAAUGAACAUUGUGACCCCAUUUUUAUCUCCAGCAGACUAAAUUCAGAGCUGAGAACAGGGCUGCCUUCUGCAGCUCAGCAAAACUGUACGUGGAAAAUUUCACAAGCUCAGCUGGUUCUUGGGGACAGCAAAUCUCCGGUAUCCUGACGAUCAUCUGAAGCCUGGAAAAGAGGUGACCUACAUUAAAUUAAGAUAAAAUGCCACUAGUUCAUUGGUAUACUGUAGAGGAAAGAAUCUAAAGGCUUAUGGACAUCAGAACGUUAGAAUGAACUUAACAUGGAAGACCUGCUCACCCACUCUCUGUCUCCCGGAGGAAGUUCCAGGUAUGGAGCUCAGGAGUAAGAGAAUGUACGAAAGAACAGAUGAAUAGAUUUGAGGUAGGUUGGCAUUGAGACAGUAAUUGAAUGAUUCAGGAUUGGCUGAGGUGUCUUAAGAUAAGCAAAUAAACCCCAAAUACACAGACAAAGCAAUA
This is a long non-coding RNA of Sapajus apella (tufted capuchin), 546 nucleotides long. RefSeq lists it as uncharacterized. NCBI's taxonomy places the organism in Eukaryota, Metazoa, Chordata, Mammalia, Primates, Cebidae. The record is from RefSeq and is a predicted model, not a curated record. The transcript is spliced from 3 exons.